CCUACGGGUGGCUGCAGUGAGGAAUAUUGGUCAAUGGACGGAAGUCUGAACCAGCCAUGCCGCGUGCAGGAAGACGGCUCUAUGAGUUGUAAACUGCUUUUGUACAAGGGCAAAACUGAAGACGUGUACGCAGAUGAAAGUACCGUACGAAAAAGGAUCGGCUAACGCCGUGCCAGCAGCCGCGGUAAUACGGAGGAGCCAAGCGUUAUCCGGAGUUAUUGGGUUGAAAGGGUGCGGAGGCGGUUUGAUAAGUUAGAGGUUCAAGGUCCGCGCUUAACUCGGGCACUGCCUGUGAUACUGUUGGUCUCUAGUUUAGGUGCUGUCGGCGGACUGUGUGGUGUAGCGGUUCACUGCUU
RNAcentral lists this ribosomal RNA (356 nucleotides) under uncultured bacterium. RNAcentral describes it as "partial 16S ribosomal RNA". It matches the Rfam family "Bacterial small subunit ribosomal RNA", at positions 338 to 691 of the family's 1533-position model. The record is from RNAcentral.